Long non-coding RNA from Silurus meridionalis, 827 nucleotides. RefSeq lists it as uncharacterized. Lineage: Eukaryota; Metazoa; Chordata; Actinopteri; Siluriformes; Siluridae. The transcript is spliced from 3 exons. The record is from RefSeq and is a predicted model, not a curated record.
CCAUGGAUCCUGGGAAAAAACACAGAUGGCAUGACGUUCCUCAAACCUACUCCUUUAUAUAAUUUUAAACUACAACAACUUUAUCAGUGCAGAUUUUUAUUUCAGUUUGUAUGGUGAUUUUUUACAUUCAACAUUAUCUACCCAGUACCUGGAAGUACCUAGAUGACCUAUGGUUUCAAAUCUCCUACAAAAGAGCAGAAACCACACCACCCUUUACCUCUACCUCUGCUACCGUCCCUGCAGUGCAGUCAUACUGGACCAGUAAAGACAGGUGGGUGAAUGUUUGUACAGGAUCUUAAACACAGGAUGAAUAAUGCCAUCGACCACCUGCUAUUGGCACUCUUCGGGUUUUAAACUAGUGAGAACACUGCCUUGGUUCCCAAACAGCAGCACCAUGUAAAGCAUUUAGCCAAGCACCCAAGGAUGAGCUGUAGAAUUAUGAUCUGAAAUAAAUAACACAGUUUGUUUGUAUGGGGUAUUUGGUAUUUGUUCACAUGUAGUUGGGAAAAUAAAGCUUUUCUCUCUAAGGGAAUUGAGGCCGGGGCUUCUGCAUGAUAGGAGGAAAAUUUGUCACUAUACUAUCAAGGUAUACACAAUGUUGUGCAUCACAGCACAAUCCCACAGUAGAAAUGUGAAUCAAUAAGGUAGAAUCCACCAUCCAUCCAUCUUCACAGGUCCAUUGUUCCUUGGUGUGGAUUUUCUGUUAAAAAAUAUUUAGUAAUUUCAGAUUGAGGGUCUAAAAAAAAGUUCUGAUUUGGUUCAUUUUUUUAUUUCACAAAAUUUAUUUCCCAAAAUAGAGAUUGUCGUUUUGUUGGGCAUCCAGUAGA